AAACUAACAAGGAUUCCCCUAGUAGCGGCGAGCGAAGCGGGAAGAGCUCAAAUUUAUAAUCUGGCACCUUCGGUGUCCGAGUUGUAAUCUCUAGAAGUGUUUUCCGCGUUGGACCGCACACAAGUCUGUUGGAAUACAGCGGCAUAGUGGUGAGACCCCCGUAUAUGGUGCGGACGCCCAACGCUUUGUGAUACACUUUCGAAGAGUCGAGUUGUUUGGGAAUGCAGCUCAAAUUGGGUGGUAAAUUCCAUCUAAAGCUAAAUAUUGGCGAGAGACCGAUAGCGAACAAGUACCGUGAGGGAAAGAUGAAAAGCACUUUGGAAAGAGAGUUAACAGUACGUGAAAUUGUUGGAAGGGAAACGCUUGAAGUCAGACUUGCUUGCCGAGCAAUCGGUUUGCAGGCCAGCAUCAGUUUUCCGGGGUGGAUAAUGGUAGAGAGAAGGUAGCAGUUUCGGCUGUGUUAUAGCUCUUUGCUGGAUACACCUUGGGGGACUGAGGAACGCAGUGUGCCUUACGGCGGAUUUCUCGAGAUCUUCACACUUAGGAUGCUGGUGGAAUGGCUUUAAACGACCCGUCUU
This 578-nucleotide ribosomal RNA is filed under the name Rhodotorula taiwanensis. RNAcentral's name for it is "partial large subunit ribosomal RNA". It matches the Rfam family "Eukaryotic large subunit ribosomal RNA", at positions 62 to 655 of the family's 3401-position model. Lineage: Eukaryota; Fungi; Basidiomycota; Microbotryomycetes; Sporidiobolales; Sporidiobolaceae. The record is from RNAcentral.